RNAcentral lists this ribosomal RNA (468 nucleotides) under uncultured bacterium. RNAcentral's name for it is "partial 16S ribosomal RNA". It matches the Rfam family "Bacterial small subunit ribosomal RNA", at positions 28 to 507 of the family's 1533-position model. The record is from RNAcentral.
GACGAACGCUGGCGGCGUGCUUAACACAUGCAAGUCGAACGGAAAGGCCCUGCUUUUGUGGGGUGCUCGAGUGGCGAACGGGUGAGUAACACGUGAGUAACCUGCCCUUGACUUUGGGAUAACUUCAGGAAACUGUGGCUAAUACCGGAUAGGAGCUCCUGCUGCAUGGUGGGGGUUGGAAAGUUUCGGCGGUUGGGGAUGGACUCGCGGCUUAUCAGCUUGUUGGUGGGGUAGUGGCUUACCAAGGCUUUGACGGGUAGCCGGCCUGAGAGGGUGACCGGCCACAUUGGGACUGAGAUACGGCCCAGACUCUUACGGGAGGCAGCAGUGGGGAAUAUUGCACAAUGGGCGGAAGCCUGAUGCAGCAACGCCGCGUGCGGGAUGACGGCCUUCGGGUUGUAACCCGCUUUCGCCUGUGACGAAGCGUGAGUGACGGUAAUGGGUAAAGAAGCACCGGCUAACUACGUG